This 73-nucleotide transfer RNA is filed under the name Aedes aegypti (yellow fever mosquito). It matches the Rfam family "tRNA". From Rfam's summary of the family: Transfer RNA (tRNA) molecules are approximately 80 nucleotides in length. Their secondary structure includes four short double-helical elements and three loops (D, anti-codon, and T loops). Further hydrogen bonds mediate the characteristic L-shaped molecular structure. tRNAs have two regions of fundamental functional importance: the anti-codon, which is responsible for specific mRNA codon recognition, and the 3' end, to which the tRNAs corresponding amino acid is attached (by aminoacyl-tRNA synthetases). tRNAs cope with the degeneracy of the genetic code in two manners: having more than one tRNA (with a specific anti-codon) for a particular amino acid; and 'wobble' base-pairing, i.e. permitting non-standard base-pairing at the 3rd anti-codon position. The record is from Rfam by way of RNAcentral. Lineage: Eukaryota; Metazoa; Arthropoda; Insecta; Diptera; Culicidae.
GGCUAGGUAGCUUAGUUGGUAAAGCUCUCGUCUGGCAUACAAGAGUCCUUCGUUCGAGUUCGAGUUCCAGCCG